GUGGCUUCCGGAGCUAACGCGUUAAGUAGACCGCCUGGGGAGUACGGCCGCAAGGUUAAAACUCAAAUGAAUUGACGGGGGCCCGCACAAGCGGUGGAGCAUGUGGUUUAAUUCGAUGCAACGCGAAGAACCUUACCUGGUCUUGACAUCCACAGAACUUUCCAGAGAUGGAUUGGUGCCUUCGGGAACUGUGAGACAGGUGCUGCAUGGCUGUCGUCAGCUCGUGUUGUGAAAUGUUGGGUUAAGUCCCGCAACGAGCGCAACCCUUAUCCUUUGUUGCCAGCGAUUAGGUCGGGAACUCAAAGGAGACUGCCAGUGAUAAACUGGAGGAAGGUGGGGAUGACGUCAAGUCAUCAUGGCCCUUACGACCAGGGCUACACACGUGCUACAAUGGCGCAUACAAAGAGAAGCGACCUCGCGAGAGCAAGCGGACCUCAUAAAAUGCGUCGUAGUCCGGAUUGGAGUCUGCAACUCGACUCCAUGAAGUCGGAAUCGCUAGUAAUCGUGGAUCAGAAUGCCACGGUGAAUACGUUCCCGGGCCUUGUACACACCGCCCGUCACACCAUGGGAGUGGGUUGCAAAAGAAGUAGGUAGCUUAACCUUCGGGAGGGCGCUUACCACUUUGUGAUUCAUGACUGGGGUGAAGUCGUAACAAGGUAACCGUAGGGGAACCUGCGGUUGGAUCACCUCCUUACCUUAAAGAAGC
This 706-nucleotide ribosomal RNA is filed under the name Salmonella enterica. Its description in RNAcentral is "bacterial SSU rRNA". It matches the Rfam family "Bacterial small subunit ribosomal RNA", at positions 839 to 1533 of the family's 1533-position model. The record is from RNAcentral. Lineage: Bacteria; Pseudomonadati; Pseudomonadota; Gammaproteobacteria; Enterobacterales; Enterobacteriaceae.